RNAcentral lists this ribosomal RNA (446 nucleotides) under uncultured bacterium. RNAcentral's name for it is "partial 16S ribosomal RNA". It matches the Rfam family "Bacterial small subunit ribosomal RNA", at positions 338 to 795 of the family's 1533-position model. The record is from RNAcentral.
CCUACGGGUGGCUGCAGUCGAGAAUCAUUCACAAUGGGGGCAACCCUGAUGGUGCGACGCCGCGUGGGGGAAUGAAGGUCUUCGGAUUGUAACCCCCUGUCAUGUGGGAGCAAAUUAAACAGAUCGUACCACAAGAGGAAGAGACGGCUAACUCUGUGCCAGCAGCCGCGGUAAUACAGAGGGCUCAAGCGGUGUUCGGAAUCACUGGGCGUAAGGGGUGCGUAGGCUGUUUCGUAAGUAGUGUGUGAAAGGUGUGGGCGCAACCCGCGGACGGCACAUGAUACUGCGAGACUAGAGUAAUGGAGGGGGAACCGGAAUUCUCGGUGUAGCAGUGAAAUGCGUAGAUAUCGAGAGGAACACUCGUGGCGAAGGCGGGUUCCUGGACAUUAACUGACGCUGAGGCACGAAGGCCAGGGGAGCGAAAGGGAUUAGAUACCCGUGUAGUC